Molecule: ribosomal RNA, 392 nt
Filed under: uncultured bacterium
Lineage: Bacteria
Description: bacterial SSU rRNA
Rfam family: Bacterial small subunit ribosomal RNA
Source: RNAcentral
GACGAACGCUGGCGGCGUGCUUAACACAUGCAAGUCGAGCGGUAAGGCCCUUUCGGGGGUACACGAGCGGCGAACGGGUGAGUAACACGUGGGUGACCUGCCCUCAGCUCUGGGAUAAGCCUGGGAAACCGGGUCUAAUACCGGAUAUGACUCCAUGACGCAUGUUGUGGGGUGGAAAGCCUUGUGCGGCUGAGGAUGGGCCCGCGGCCUAUCAGCUUGUUGGUGGGGUGAUGGCCUACCAAGGCGACGACGGGUAGCCGGCCUGAGAGGGCGACCGGCCACACUGGGACUGAGGCACGGCCCAGACUCCUACGGGAGGCAGCAGUGGGGAAUCUUGCGCAAUGGGCGAAAGCCUGACGCAGCGACGCCGCGUGAGGGAUGACGGCCUCGGU